ACUUGAGUCUUUCGAGCAGAACUUUGAAAAAAAAUGUUUUGUUCGUUCGGCUCGAGUCA
RNAcentral lists this microRNA precursor (59 nucleotides) under Limulus polyphemus (Atlantic horseshoe crab). RNAcentral's name for it is "Lpo-Mir-375-P8_pre stem-loop". Lineage: Eukaryota; Metazoa; Arthropoda; Merostomata; Xiphosura; Limulidae. The record is from RNAcentral.